UACGAAGGGGGCUAGCGUUGUUCGGAUUUACUGGGCGUAAAGCGCACGUAGGCGGACUCUUAAGUCGGUGGUGAAAUCCUGGAGCUCAACUCCAGAACUGCCUUCGAUACUGAGAGUCUCGAGUCCGGGAGAGGUGAGUGGAACUGCGAGUGUAGAGGUGAAAUUCGUAGAUAUUCGCAAGAACACCAGUGGCGAAGGCGGCUCACUGGGACGGUACCGACGCUGAGACGCGAAAGCGUGGGGAGCGAACAGG
RNAcentral lists this ribosomal RNA (253 nucleotides) under uncultured bacterium. RNAcentral's name for it is "partial 16S ribosomal RNA". It matches the Rfam family "Bacterial small subunit ribosomal RNA", at positions 524 to 776 of the family's 1533-position model. The record is from RNAcentral.